GCCUGGCUGGCUCAAUUGGAAGAGCUUGUGACUCUUGAUCUCAGAGUCAUGAGUUCGAGCCCCACGUUGGGUG
RNAcentral lists this transfer RNA (73 nucleotides) under Ailuropoda melanoleuca (giant panda). It matches the Rfam family "tRNA". Rfam says of the family: Transfer RNA (tRNA) molecules are approximately 80 nucleotides in length. Their secondary structure includes four short double-helical elements and three loops (D, anti-codon, and T loops). Lineage: Eukaryota; Metazoa; Chordata; Mammalia; Carnivora; Ursidae. The record is from Rfam by way of RNAcentral.